This 478-nucleotide ribosomal RNA is filed under the name uncultured bacterium. RNAcentral describes it as "partial 16S ribosomal RNA". It matches the Rfam family "Bacterial small subunit ribosomal RNA", at positions 28 to 523 of the family's 1533-position model. The record is from RNAcentral.
GACGAACGCCGGCGGCGUGCUUAACACAUGCAAGUCGAACGGUAAGGCCCUUCGGGGUACACGAGUGGCGAACGGGUGAGUAACACGUGGGUGAUCUGCCCUGCACUUCGGGAUAAGCCUGGGAAACUGGGUCUAAUACCGGAUAGGACCACUGCCUGCAUGGGUGGUGGUGGAAAGCUUUUGCGGUGUGGGAUGGGCCCGCGGCCUAUCAGCUUGUUGGUGGGGUGAUGGCCUACCAAGGCGACGACGGGUAGCCGGCCUGAGAGGGUGACCGGCCACACUGGGACUGAGAUACGGCCCAGACUCCUACGGGAGGCAACAGUGGGGAAUAUUGCACAAUGGGCGCAAGCCUGAUGCAGCGACGCCGCGUGAGGGAUGACGGCCUUCGGGUUGUAAACCUCUUUCAGCACCGACGAAGCGCAAGUGACGGUAGGUGCAGAAGAAGGACCGGCCAACUACGUGCCAGCCGCCGCAGUAA